Molecule: ribosomal RNA, 465 nt
Filed under: uncultured bacterium
Lineage: Bacteria
Description: bacterial SSU rRNA
Rfam family: Bacterial small subunit ribosomal RNA
Source: RNAcentral
CCUACGGGUCGCACCAGCGGGGAAUUUUGGACAAUGGGCGCAAGCCUGAUCCAGCAAUGCCGCGUGAGAGAAGAAGGCCUUCGGGUUGUAAAGCUCUUUUGUCAGGGAAGAAACGGUAGGAGCUAAUAUCUCUUGCUAAUGACGGUACCUGAAGAAUAAGCACCGGCUAACUACGUGCCAGCAGCCGCGGUAAUACGUAGGGUGCAAGCGUUAAUCGGAAUUACUGGGCGUAAAGCGUGCGCAGGCGGUUUUGUAAGUCUGUCGUGAAAGCCCCGGGCUCAACCUGGGAAUUGCGAUGGAGACUGCAAGGCUUGAAUCUGGCAGAGGGGGGUAGAAUUCCACGUGUAGCAGUGAAAUGCGUAGAGAUGUGGAGGAACACCGAUGGCGAAGGCAGCCCCCUGGGUCAAGAUUGACGCUCAUGCACGAAAGCGUGGGGAGCAAACAGGAUUAGAUACCCGAGUAGUC